This 1275-nucleotide ribosomal RNA is filed under the name Enterococcus faecium. Its description in RNAcentral is "bacterial SSU rRNA". It matches the Rfam family "Bacterial small subunit ribosomal RNA", at positions 72 to 1327 of the family's 1533-position model. Lineage: Bacteria; Bacillati; Bacillota; Bacilli; Lactobacillales; Enterococcaceae. The record is from RNAcentral.
ACCGGAGCUUGCUCCACCGGAAAAAGAGGAGUGGCGAACGGGUGAGUAACACGUGGGUAACCUGCCCAUCAGAAGGGGAUAACACUUGGAAACAGGUGCUAAUACCGUAUAACAAUCGAAACCGCAUGGUUUUGAUUUGAAAGGCGCUUUCGGGUGUCGCUGAUGGAUGGACCCGCGGUGCAUUAGCUAGUUGGUGAGGUAACGGCUCACCAAGGCCACGAUGCAUAGCCGACCUGAGAGGGUGAUCGGCCACAUUGGGACUGAGACACGGCCCAAACUCCUACGGGAGGCAGCAGUAGGGAAUCUUCGGCAAUGGACGAAAGUCUGACCGAGCAACGCCGCGUGAGUGAAGAAGGUUUUCGGAUCGUAAAACUCUGUUGUUAGAGAAGAACAAGGAUGAGAGUAACUGUUCAUCCCUUGACGGUAUCUAACCAGAAAGCCACGGCUAACUACGUGCCAGCAGCCGCGGUAAUACGUAGUGGCAAGCGUUGUCCGGAUUUAUUGGGCGUAAAGCGAGCGCAGGCGGUUUUCUUAAGUCUGAUGUGAAAGCCCCCGGCUCAACCGGGGAGGGUCAUUGGAAACUGGGAGACUUGAGUGCAGAAGAGGAGAGUGGAAUUCCAUGUGUAGCGGUGAAAUGCGUAGAUAUAUGGAGGAACACCAGUGGCGAAGGCGGCUCUCUGGUCUGUAACUGACGCUGAGGCUCGAAAGCGUGGGGAGCAAACAGGAUUAGAUACCCUGGUAGUCCACGCCGUAAACGAUGAGUGCUAAGUGUUGGAGGGUUUCCGCCCUUCAGUGCUGCAGCUAACGCAUUAAGCACUCCGCCUGGGGAGUACGACCGCAAGGUUGAAACUCAAAGGAAUUGACGGGGGCCCGCACAAGCGGUGGAGCAUGUGGUUUAAUUCGAAGCAACGCGAAGAACCUUACCAGGUCUUGACAUCCUUUGACCACUCUAGAGAUAGAGCUUCCCCUUCGGGGGCAAAGUGACAGGUGGUGCAUGGUUGUCGUCAGCUCGUGUCGUGAGAUGUUGGGUUAAGUCCCGCAACGAGCGCAACCCUUAUUGUUAGUUGCCAUCAUUCAGUUGGGCACUCUAGCAAGACUGCCGGUGACAAACCGGAGGAAGGUGGGGAUGACGUCAAAUCAUCAUGCCCCUUAUGACCUGGGCUACACACGUGCUACAAUGGGAAGUACAACGAGUUGCGAAGUCGCGAGGCUAAGCUAAUCUCUUAAAGCUUCUCUCAGUUCGGAUUGCAGGCUGCAACUCGCCUGCAUGAAGCC